Molecule: ribosomal RNA, 442 nt
Filed under: uncultured bacterium
Lineage: Bacteria
Description: partial 16S ribosomal RNA
Rfam family: Bacterial small subunit ribosomal RNA
Source: RNAcentral
CCUACGGGAGGCAGCAGUAGGGAAUCUUUCACAAUGGGCGAAAGCCUGAUGGAGCAACGCUGCGUGCAGGAUGAAGGCCUUCGGGUUGUAAACUGCUUUUAUAAGCGAGAAAUAUGAUGGUAACUUAUGAAUAAGGAUCGGCUAACUACGUGCCAGCAGCCGCGGUCAUACGUAGGAUCCGAGCAUUAUCCGGAGUGACUGGGUGUAAAGAGUUGCGUAGGUGGCAUAAUAAGUAGCUAGUGAAAUCUGGUGGCUCAACAAUUCAGACUAUUAGCUAAACUGUUAAGCUCGAGACCGUUAGGGGUAACUGGAAUUUCUAGUGUAGGAGUGAAAUCCGUAGAUAUUAGAAGGAACACCAAUAGCGUAGGCAGGUUGCUGGGACGGUUCUGACACUAAGGCACGAAAGCGUAGGGAGCAAACGGGAUUAGAUACCCCUGUAGUC